Long non-coding RNA from Rhododendron vialii, 524 nucleotides. RefSeq lists it as uncharacterized. The record is from RefSeq and is a predicted model, not a curated record. The transcript has 4 exons. Lineage: Eukaryota; Viridiplantae; Streptophyta; Magnoliopsida; Ericales; Ericaceae.
UAGUUUACAAAUAAGGUAUUAAUUAUGUAACUUAGGAUCAAGUCAUUACUAAAAUUAUCAAAUAUUGCAGGAUAAGUUUGACUUGCAAGGAGAUCCAAUCGAUGUUGAAAAGGCAGUGGCAACACAAUGUGGACGGAGGUUGAGCAAUCACAACUUCGUUUUGCACAAAAAGUACAAGAAACUUAAAGAAACAAGGGGGGAAGAGUAUGCUAGAAACAACCCACCAGCUGGUGUCAAUCCAGAGCAGUGGACGAGCUUAGUCACUAAGAAGUGGACAGUUCCAAAAUGGCUGGAGCGAUCAGAAAAAAACACCUCAAACAGGUCUUGGUCUAAGACAAAACAUAGAUGUGGAUCAAAGUCACUCCCAGUUAGGGUUGCCGCUGCGGAUAAGAUGGUACAAAUAGAGACUGAACAUAAUGCGCAGGAAGGUGCAAUCCCGAUUACGCAAGAGGAGCUCUCCGUUAAAGGACUCAAGGCAAAGUCAGGCUAUGUGAAGGGACUUGGCAUUAGGCCUUCCUCCUCUA